UAAACCAGGAUUAGAUACCCUAUUAUGCCUAGCCCUAAACAUUGAUAAUAACCUACUUAUUUUAUCCGCCCGGGUACUACGAGCGUCAGCUUGAAACCCAAAGGACUUGGCGGUGCUUUAGAUCCACCUAGAGGAGCCUGUUCUAGAACCGAUAAUCCCCGUUAAACCUCACCUUUCCUUGUCAUUUCCGCCUAUAUACCGCCGUCGUCAGCUUACUCUGUGAAGAGCCUGUAGUAAGCACAACUGGUAAAGCCUAAAACGCCAGGUCGAGGUGUAGCGAAUGGAAAGGGAAGAAAUGGGCUACAUUCAAUAUUUAAUAAUGAACACGAAUGAUAUCAUGAAAGAGAUAUCUGAAGGAGGAUUUAGCAGUAAGUAGAGAAUAGAGCGCUCUACUGAAACCGGCCUAAGCGC
RNAcentral lists this ribosomal RNA (411 nucleotides) under Hemigymnus melapterus. Its description in RNAcentral is "partial 12S ribosomal RNA". It matches the Rfam family "Bacterial small subunit ribosomal RNA", at positions 768 to 1382 of the family's 1533-position model. The record is from RNAcentral. Lineage: Eukaryota; Metazoa; Chordata; Actinopteri; Labriformes; Labridae.